Molecule: ribosomal RNA, 278 nt
Filed under: uncultured bacterium
Lineage: Bacteria
Description: partial 16S ribosomal RNA
Rfam family: Bacterial small subunit ribosomal RNA
Source: RNAcentral
UACGAAGGGGGCUAGCGUUGUUCGGAAUUACUGGGCGUAAAGCGCACGUAGGCGGACUUUUAAGUCAGAUGUGAAAUCCCGAGGCUCAACCUGGAACUGCAUUUGAAACUGGGAGUCUAGAGAUCAGGAGAGGUUAGCGGAAAUACCGGAGUGUAGAGGUGAAAUUCGUAGAUAUUCGGUGGAACACCAGUGGCGAAGGCGGCUAAACUGGACUGAUACUGACGCUGAGGUGCGAAAAGUGUGGGGAGCAAACAGGGAUUAGAUACCCGGGGUAGUCC